RNAcentral lists this ribosomal RNA (429 nucleotides) under Actinomycetes bacterium. Its description in RNAcentral is "Actinobacteria bacterium partial 16S ribosomal RNA". It matches the Rfam family "Bacterial small subunit ribosomal RNA", at positions 355 to 776 of the family's 1533-position model. Lineage: Bacteria; Bacillati; Actinomycetota; Actinomycetes. The record is from RNAcentral.
UAGGGAAUCUUCCGCAAUGGGCGAAAGCCUGACGGAGCAACGCCGCGUGAGUGAUGAAGGUCUCCGGAUCGUAAAACUCUGUUAUUAGGGAAGAACAAAUGUGUAAGUAACUAUGCACGUCUUGACGGUACCUAAUCAGAAAGCCACGGCUAACUACGUGCAAGCAGCCGCGGUAAUACGUAGGUGGCAAGCGUUAUCCGGAAUUAUUGGGCGUAAAGCGCGCGUAGGCGGUUUUUUAAGUCUGAUGUGAAAGCCCACGGAUCAACCGUGGAGGGUCAUUGGCAACUGGAAAACUUCAGUGCAGAAGAGGAAAGUGGAAUUCCAUGUGUAGCGGUGAAAUGCGCAGAGAUAUGGAGGAACACCAGUGGCGAAGGCGACUUUCUGGUCUGUAACUGUCGCUGAUGUGAGAAAGGGUGGGGAUGAAACAGG